GCUACGCAUGUAGAUGCUGCAAUGAAAUCAGAUAAGAAGGUGAAUCAUUUGCUGGCUUAAAGAGUUACAGUUCUCUUUAAUUCUUUCUUUUGAGAAAGAUGGAGAUGUCUUUUCCUUUUUCGAUGGUAGCUUUAUGUGAAGGACAAAUUUUUCAACUCACUUUCGACCAGUCAACCUGGGCCAUGGAAGCCGAAAAUAUCUGAACAAAGGAAGCUGGAUAUAGAGGUAUCACUUCAUGAUUCUUCCAAUGAUUAUCCAACGUUUGUUGUCUUUCUUGACUUGGUCCUCAGACAUUUGGGUAUUUCCAAGUGCACCAAAGGAGUCACGGUAGCGAAUGUCAAGGCUUGGUGGCAAUCCAGACGUCUUUUCCGACCAAAGAGAAAAUGGUAAUGCAGGCAGAGGCC
This 404-nucleotide long non-coding RNA is filed under the name Eucalyptus grandis. Its description in RNAcentral is "long non-coding RNA (EGRA_LNC000479)". The record is from RNAcentral. Lineage: Eukaryota; Viridiplantae; Streptophyta; Magnoliopsida; Myrtales; Myrtaceae.